CUCCUACACUCAGGACCUUCUCAGACCUUGCUCCCAUAUAUCUCUUCAUUGGGCUAUUCAUCUGUACCCUUUAUGAUAUCCUGUAUUACAUAAUAAACUGGAAGGUGAUGAAACAUCCACAUAGAACUUUGAAGAAGCCAAGGUGGCCAAGGGUUAUGCCAGUCUAUUUAUCCCAACUACAGUGGCCAGAUGUUCUAUCCUUCAUUUUUAUGAAAUAUGAGUGCUAGAGCAAACAGAAGGCAAGGAUUCUUCCCACAUGAAAUAUGAAUGGACUUGAGACCAACAACCAGCCCACAUUUUCCCUGGGGUUCAGGCUCAUGGACAACUUACACAAAGCUGGAAUGGUCUCUUGAGGCCAAAGGACAGCUGGGGGAGACCUACGGUAAUCCUUACUAUAGAAUCCAAACACUUUCCAGACCUGCUGCAGAGCCCAUUUGGACAGAUGCAGUGCUUAAUAGACAACUGAUUUCUUGCCCUGGAGGAAGAACUGGAAAGAAGUUCUCCCGUGUGGGAAGAGUUGGUGAAAAGGUGAUGAGGAAGGGUGAAGGCCACCCAGUCUGUGCACCCUUCUUCCUGUCCCAGUCACUAUAAAGCUCUGUAACAAUACCUGUGCCCCUUCCAAAUGGUUUCCUUCACUUGGAAACAAGGAUACAAUACCUACCUCA
Molecule: long non-coding RNA, 665 nt
Organism: Hyaena hyaena (striped hyena)
Lineage: Eukaryota; Metazoa; Chordata; Mammalia; Carnivora; Hyaenidae
Exons: 4
Source: RefSeq, a predicted model, not a curated record